GUACACUCCUACGGGAGGCAGCAGUGGGGAAUAUUGCACAAUGGGCGCAAGCCUGAUGCAGCCAUGCCGCGUGUGUGAAGAAGGCCUUCGGGUUGUAAAGCACUUUCAGCGGGGAGGAAGGCGAUACGGUUAAUAACCGUGUUGAUUGACGUUACCCGCAGAAGAAGCACCGGCUAACUCCGUGCCAGCAGCCGCGGUAAUACGGAGGGUGCAAGCGUUAAUCGGAAUUACUGGGCGUAAAGCGCACGCAGGCGGUCUGUCAAGUCGGAUGUGAAAUCCCCGGGCUCAACCUGGGAACUGCAUUCGAAACUGGCAGGCUUGAGUCUUGUAGAGGGGGGUAGAAUUCCAGGUGUAGCGGUGAAAUGCGUAGAGAUCUGGAGGAAUACCGGUGGCGAAGGCGGCCCCCUGGACAAAGACUGACGCUCAGGUGCGAAAGCGUGGGGAGCAAACAGGAUUAGAUACCCGAGUAGUCCCAUGA
RNAcentral lists this ribosomal RNA (478 nucleotides) under uncultured organism. RNAcentral describes it as "partial 16S ribosomal RNA". It matches the Rfam family "Bacterial small subunit ribosomal RNA", at positions 331 to 800 of the family's 1533-position model. The record is from RNAcentral.